Molecule: ribosomal RNA, 485 nt
Filed under: uncultured microorganism
Description: bacterial SSU rRNA
Rfam family: Bacterial small subunit ribosomal RNA
Source: RNAcentral
AUUGAACGCUGGCGGCAGGCCUAACACAUGCAAGUCGAGCGGAUGAGGGGAGCUUGCUCCUUGAUUCAGCGGCGGACGGGUGAGUAAUGCCUAGGAAUCUGCCUGGUAGUGGGGGAUAACGUUCCGAAAGGAACGCUAAUACCGCAUACGUCCUACGGGAGAAAGCAGGGGACCUUCGGGCCUUGCGCUAUCAGAUGAGCCUAGGUCGGAUUAGCUAGUUGGUGAGGUAAUGGCUCACCAAGGCGACGAUCCGUAACUGGUCUGAGAGGAUGAUCAGUCACACUGGAACUGAGACACGGUCCAGACUCCUACGGGAGGCAGCAGUGGGGAAUAUUGGACAAUGGGCGAAAGCCUGAUCCAGCCAUGCCGCGUGUGUGAAGAAGGUCUUCGGAUUGUAAAGCACUUUAAGUUGGGAGGAAGGGCAGUAAGUUAAUACCUUGCUGUUUUGACGUUACCAACAGAAUAAGCACCGGCUAACUUCGUGC